This is a long non-coding RNA of Amyelois transitella, 545 nucleotides long. RefSeq lists it as uncharacterized. NCBI's taxonomy places the organism in Eukaryota, Metazoa, Arthropoda, Insecta, Lepidoptera, Pyralidae. The record is from RefSeq and is a predicted model, not a curated record. The transcript is spliced from 2 exons.
AGAGCUUCCCAUAUGGGACAAUUAAGAUGGUGGGUACUAAUUACACUUACUAAUAGAUAGACAUAUAGAUGCCUACUGAGAUUUUCUCCGCAAACACUGAAGGUGAAAAAUAUUUCAUUUGAUACCGGCUUGUGGCGGGGCGGCAGUAGGUAGAUAGAUAGAUAAAACAACAACAAACAACAGCUCCGCCGCCGUCGGUUAUACUGUCACUAGUUGUUGCCCUGGUCUUUGCCUACGGAAACAGUACUUACUCCUAGGUAACUGUAUUAUUCAGGGUAUCUCCUCAGCUGCAAGACGUCGCAGGGUUUAUUUUUCUUCGCUUUCUUCAUUUGGCACGAUCACAGUCAUUAUCCCAUUAUUUGAUUGUUAUUAAUUUUUAGGAAAAAUAAAUUGUCUCCGAUAUCGUCGUUGACAAUGUCCGAACAGAGAAGUGCGGAUGGUGUGGAGUCGACAGUUGAUAUUAUGGACUUAGAUAGUCAUGGCAUUAUUCCGACGCCGACAUCAACGACAACCCAAGAUAGAAAACCAUAUAUAGAAAACCAUAG